GUUUGAUCCUGGCUCAGGAUGAACGCUGGCGGCGUGCUUAACACAUGCAAGUCGAACGGAAAGGCCAGUGCUUGCACUGGUACUCGAGUGGCGAACGGGUGAGUAACACGUGAGUAACCUGCCCUUGACUUUGGGAUAACUUCAGGAAACUGGGGCUAAUACCGGAUAGGAGCUCCUGCUGCAUGGUGGGGGUUGGAAAGUUUCGGCGGUUGGGGAUGGACUCGCGGCUUAUCAGCUUGUUG
RNAcentral lists this ribosomal RNA (242 nucleotides) under Paraphysomonas imperforata. RNAcentral's name for it is "partial Bacterial small subunit ribosomal RNA". It matches the Rfam family "Bacterial small subunit ribosomal RNA", at positions 11 to 251 of the family's 1533-position model. The record is from RNAcentral. Lineage: Eukaryota; Chrysophyceae; Chromulinales; Paraphysomonadaceae.